GAAGUGCGAUAAGCAAUGCGAAUUGCAGAACCGUGAGUCAUCAGAUUUUUGAACGCAAUUGGCGUCGACUGGCUCUCCAGUCGGCAUGCUUGUUUCAGUGUCUUGUAAUCUCCUCACCAAAAUCUUAAUGCGAGAGAUACCCUUCUCUUGCCAAGUACGAAAGCACUCUGAGCUCUGCACGCGUCUUCGCUUCGGUGAAGUUCGCACUCAAUGCAGCAGUCACAUUGCUUACAAUGUGAACUCAUUGAGAGUUGAGUCAGCGCAGCUUGUCUGCAAGUGCUUAGAUCUCUAAACUCUUCUUGUAUCUGAAAUCAAGCAGGAUCACCCGCUGAACUUAA
RNAcentral lists this unclassified non-coding RNA (338 nucleotides) under uncultured fungus. RNAcentral describes it as "sequence contains ITS1". The stretch from base 1 to 103 matches the Rfam family "5.8S ribosomal RNA", at positions 50 to 154 of the family's 154-position model. The record is from RNAcentral. Lineage: Eukaryota; Fungi.